AUGUUCGAGUAUGUAAAUGUUGUCAGCAAGAUGUUUGAUAGUGAGGCUGAAGGCUAUGAAUUCUACAACAAAUAUGCUCUUGAAAAAGGUUUUAGUGUGAGGAAAAGCUACGUUGAGUGGGAUGGAUCCAACAAAUACAUAAUUUUAAGGAAAAUUGUGUGUAGUCGUCAAGGGUUUCGCAAAGAGAAGCACAUGAAAAGAAAGAUGGAAGAUAGAAAGAGGAGGCCACGAAGUUUAACUCGUGUUGGGUGUAAUGCUAAAUUGGUCAUUACGAGACAGGAGGAAACCGGUUGGUGGUUUGUCAAGGAUUUCAUCGAUGAGCACAUCCAUCCUCUAGCCCCACGGGAUCUUUCUUGUCUGAUGCGUUCGCACAGGCGAAUUAGCGAUGAGCAGAAAGCGGACAUUGCGGACAUGGAAAAGUGUGGGAUCCACAAAUACCGUAUUAUGGAUAUUUUGUGCUUUCAAUACGGUGGAUUUGAUAAGGUUGGAUGCAUAAAGAGGGACGUUUAUAAUUUCUUCCAUGCUAAUAAGCAGGAGACAAUCAGUGCCGGUGAUGCUAAUACGGUGAUCAUGCACAUGAUGGCGAGGCGAGAGCGAGAUGUGCAUUUUUUCUUCAAGUACUUGGUAGACGAGCAUGGCCAUCUGAAGGGACUGUUCUGGGCUGAUAGUCAGUCGCGACUUGACUACGAGGCUUUCGGAGACGUCAUUGUUUUCGAUAUCACUUACAGAACCAACAAAUACAAUCUGCCAUUUGUGCCGUUUGUCGGGUUGAAUCACCACCGCAGCACUGUUAUUUUUGGCUGUGGUAUAAUUUCUCAUGAAACAAGCCAGGCAUACGAGUGGAUGUUGCGGACCUUUUCUGAUUGCAUGGCACAGAAGCAUCCGAUAUCUGUGAUCACAGAUGGGGACCUUGCAAUGCAGAGAGCAAUAAGGGUGGUCUGGCCAGACUCAAACCAUAGACUAUGUAUAUGGCACAUUCAGCAGAACAUUGUACGCCAUCUGCAUGAUGACGACAUAAAGGAAGAAUUCAGAUCUUUCAUUUAUGAUACUUCUUCCAUUGAAGAGCAUGAGAUAAAAUGGAUACAAUUCUUACAACGGAAUAAAGUAACCAGUGGGGAGUCUUGGCUGCAUCAGAUGUAUCAGAUGAGAAAGUUGUGGUGUGCUCCAUAUCUUGAGGGGCGUUGUUUCCUAGGAUUGAGCAGCAAUCAGAGGAGUGAGAGCUUGAACUCUGUGCUACAUACGCAUCUUGAGGGUAAGAUGUCGUUGUUUGAAAUGCUAGAGCACUAUGAGCGUUGCCUUGCGUCGUGA
Molecule: ribosomal RNA, 1308 nt
Filed under: Triticum aestivum (bread wheat)
Lineage: Eukaryota; Viridiplantae; Streptophyta; Magnoliopsida; Poales; Poaceae
Description: partial small subunit ribosomal RNA
Source: RNAcentral